This 686-nucleotide ribosomal RNA is filed under the name uncultured bacterium. RNAcentral describes it as "bacterial SSU rRNA". It matches the Rfam family "Bacterial small subunit ribosomal RNA", at positions 9 to 694 of the family's 1533-position model. The record is from RNAcentral.
GAGUUUGAUCCUGGCUCAGGACGAACGCUGGCGGCGUGCUUAACACAUGCAAGUCGAACGAGAAUCUGUGGAAAGAGGAUUCGUCCAAUUGAAGCAGAGGACAGUGGCGGACGGGUGAGUAACGCGUGAGGAACCUGCCUUUCAGAGGGGGACAACAGUUGGAAACGACUGCUAAUACCGCAUAACGCAUAGAAGUCGCAUGGCUUUUAUGCCAAAGAUUUAUCGCUGAAAGAUGGCCUCGCGUCUGAUUAGCUAGUUGGUGAGGUAACGGCCCACCAAGGCGACGAUCAGUAGCCGGACUGAGAGGUUGAACGGCCACAUUGGGACUGAGAUACGGCCCAGACUCCUACGGGAGGCAGCAGUGGGGAAUAUUGGGCAAUGGGCGCAAGCCUGACCCAGCAACGCCGCGUGAAGGAAGAAGGCUUUCGGGUUGUAAACUUCUUUUGUCAGGGACGAGAAGAAGACGGUACCUGACGAAUAAGCCACGGCUAACUACGUGCCAGCAGCCGCGGUAAUACGUAGGUGGCAAGCGUUGUCCGGAUUUACUGGGUGUAAAGGGCGUGUAGCCGGGUCGGCAAGUCAGAUGUGAAAUCCACGGGCUUAACUCGUGAACUGCAUUUGAAACUGUUGAUCUUGAGUAUCGGAGAGGCAAUCGGAAUUCCUAGUGUAGCGGUGAAAUGCGUAGA